Molecule: ribosomal RNA, 118 nt
Filed under: Pteropus alecto (black flying fox)
Lineage: Eukaryota; Metazoa; Chordata; Mammalia; Chiroptera; Pteropodidae
Source: RNAcentral
GCUUUCAUAAGACUCCUUUGCACAAGCCCGAACCUGUCUGAUCUCGGAAGCUAAGCAGGGUCAGGCCUGGUUAGUACUUGGAUGGGAGACCACCUACGAAAACCAGGUGCUGUAGGUG